RNAcentral lists this ribosomal RNA (76 nucleotides) under Alexandrium monilatum. Its description in RNAcentral is "partial Eukaryotic large subunit ribosomal RNA". The record is from RNAcentral. Lineage: Eukaryota; Dinophyceae; Gonyaulacales; Pyrocystaceae.
UUGGGCUGGGGCGGCACAUCUGUUAGACGAUAAGUGUAGGUGGCCUGAAGGUGAACUCAACGGGCACAGACCUCCC